RNAcentral lists this ribosomal RNA (253 nucleotides) under uncultured bacterium. Its description in RNAcentral is "partial 16S ribosomal RNA". It matches the Rfam family "Bacterial small subunit ribosomal RNA", at positions 524 to 776 of the family's 1533-position model. The record is from RNAcentral.
UACGGAGGAUCCAAGCGUUAUCCGGAAUCAUUGGGUUUAAAGGGUCCGUAGGCGGUUUAAUAAGUCAGUGGUGAAAUCUGGUCGCUCAACGAUCAAACGGCCAUUGAUACUGUUAAACUUGAAUUACUGGGAAGUAACUAGAAUAUGUAGUGUAGCGGUGAAAUGCUUAGAUAUUACAUGGAAUACCAAUUGCGAAGGCAGGUUACUACCAGUGGAUUGACGCUGAUGGACGAAAGCGUGGGGAGCGAACAGG